CCUACGGGUGGCAGCAGUGGGGGAUAUUGCACAAUGGGGGAAACCCUGAUGCAGCGACGCCGCGUGGGGGAAGACGGUCCUCUGGAUUGUAAACCACUGUGCCCAGGGAGGAAAAUGAGGGGACCAGGGGAGGAAGCGCCGGCUAACUACGUGCAAGCAGCCGCGGUAAGAAGGAGGGAGCGAGGGUGGUCCGGAAUUACUGGGUGGAAAGGGAGCGGAGGGGGGGCUGCAAGGUGGGGGGCAAAACUACCGGCUCACCUGGUAGUCGCACUCAAAACUGCAGCUCUUGAGUGAAGUAGAGGCAGGCGGACUUCCUAGUGUCGCGGUGAAAUUCGUAGAUAUUAGGAGGAACACCCGUUGCGCAGGCGGCCUGCUGGGCUUUUACUGACGCUGAUGCUCGAAAGUGUGGGGAGCAAACAGGAUUAGAUACCCUAGUAGUC
Molecule: ribosomal RNA, 440 nt
Filed under: uncultured bacterium
Lineage: Bacteria
Description: partial 16S ribosomal RNA
Rfam family: Bacterial small subunit ribosomal RNA
Source: RNAcentral